This 27-nucleotide ribosomal RNA is filed under the name Gyrodactylus crysoleucas. Its description in RNAcentral is "partial 28S ribosomal RNA". Lineage: Eukaryota; Metazoa; Platyhelminthes; Monogenea; Gyrodactylidea; Gyrodactylidae. The record is from RNAcentral.
CCUGACCUCGAUUCGAGCGGAAUACCC